UGUUUGAUCCUGGCUCAGAACGAACGCUGGCGGCAGGCUUCAUACAUGCAAGUCGCGCGAUUAAGACCCGCAAGGGUGAAUAAAGCGGCGAACGGGUGGGUAACAGGUGGAUAAUCUGCCCUUCGGCGGGGGACAACGGCUGGAAACGGCCGCUAAUACCGCAUGUGGUUGCCGGGACUCGGGUUCCGGCAAAGAAAGGAGCUGCAAGGCUCCACCGAAGGAUGAGUCCGCCCCCCAUUAGCUAGUUGGCGGGAUGAUAGCCCACCAAGGCUUUGAUGGGUAGCCGAGCUGAGAGGUUGAUCGGCCACACUGGAACUGAGACACGGUCCAGACACCUACGGGUGGCAGCAGUAGGGAAUAUUGGACAAUGGGCGAAAGCCUGAUCCAGCCAUGCCGCGUGAGUGACGAAGGCCUUCGGGUCGUAAAACUCUUUUCUGAGGGAAGAACAUGCCGGGGUAAGGAAAUGCCCCCGGCUUUGACGGUACCUCAGAAUAAGCACGUACUCCUG
RNAcentral lists this ribosomal RNA (508 nucleotides) under uncultured bacterium. Its description in RNAcentral is "bacterial SSU rRNA". It matches the Rfam family "Bacterial small subunit ribosomal RNA", at positions 10 to 502 of the family's 1533-position model. The record is from RNAcentral.